This 465-nucleotide ribosomal RNA is filed under the name Vreelandella stevensii. Its description in RNAcentral is "partial 16S ribosomal RNA". It matches the Rfam family "Bacterial small subunit ribosomal RNA", at positions 338 to 795 of the family's 1533-position model. Lineage: Bacteria; Pseudomonadati; Pseudomonadota; Gammaproteobacteria; Oceanospirillales; Halomonadaceae. The record is from RNAcentral.
CCUACGGGAGGCAGCAGUGGGGAAUAUUGGACAAUGGGGGGAACCCUGAUCCAGCCAUGCCGCGUGUGUGAAGAAGGCCCUCGGGUUGUAAAGCACUUUCAGUGAGGAAGAACGCCUGGUGGUUAAUACCCAUCAGGAAAGACUUCACUCACAGAAGAAGCACCGGCUAACUCCGUGCCAGCAGCCGCGGUAAUACGGAGGGUGCGAGCGUUAAUCGGAAUUACUGGGCGUAAAGCGCGCGUAGGUGGCUUGAUAAGCCGGUUGUGAAAGCCCCGGGCUCAACCUGGGAACGGCAUCCGGAACUGUCAAGCUAGAGUGCAGGAGAGGAAGGUAGAAUUCCCGGUGUAGCGGUGAAAUGCGUAGAGAUCGGGAGGAAUACCAGUGGCGAAGGCGGCCUUCUGGACUGACACUGACACUGAGGUGCGAAAGCGUGGGUAGCAAACAGGAUUAGAUACCCGGGUAGUC